This 400-nucleotide ribosomal RNA is filed under the name uncultured bacterium. RNAcentral describes it as "bacterial SSU rRNA". It matches the Rfam family "Bacterial small subunit ribosomal RNA", at positions 356 to 773 of the family's 1533-position model. The record is from RNAcentral.
GGGGAAUAUUGGACAAUGGGCGAAAGCCUGAUCCAGCAAUGCCGCGUGAGUGAUGCAGGCCUUAGGGUUGUAAAGCUCUUUUACCAGGGAUGAUAAUGACAGUACCUGGAGAAUAAGCUCCGGCUAACUCCGUGCCAGCAGCCGCGGUAAUACGGAGGGAGCUAGCGUUGUUCGGAAAUACUGGGCGUAAAGCGCACGUAGGCGGCAUCGUAAGUCAGGGGUGAAAUCCCGGGGCUCAACCCCGGAACUGCCCUUGAAACUGCAGUGCUAGAAUCUUGGAGAGGCGAGUGGAAUUCCGAGUGUAGAGGUGAAAUUCGUAGAUAUUCGGAAGAACACCAGUGGCGAAGGCGACUCGCUGGACAAGUAUUGACGCUGAGGUGCGAAAGCGUGGGGAGCAAAC